CGGCCUAAAUUACUACAACACG
Molecule: microRNA, 22 nt
Filed under: Chlamydomonas reinhardtii
Lineage: Eukaryota; Viridiplantae; Chlorophyta; Chlorophyceae; Chlamydomonadales; Chlamydomonadaceae
Description: cre-miR1162-5p
Source: miRBase by way of RNAcentral